UGGGGAAUAUUGGACAAUGGGCGAAAGCCUGAUCCAGCCAUGCCGCGUGUGUGAAGAAGGUCUUCGGAUUGUAAAGCACUUUAAGUUGGGAGGAAGGGCAGUAAGCGAAUACCUUGCUGUUUUGACGUUACCGACAGAAUAAGCACCGGCUAACUCUGUGCCAGCAGCUGCGGUAAUACAGAGGGUGCAAGCGUUAAUCGGAAUUACUGGGCGUAAAGCGCGCGUAGGUGGUUCGUUAAGUUGAAUGUGAAAGCCCCGGGCUCAACCUGGGAACUGCAUCCAAAACUGGCGAGCUAGAGUAGGGCAGAGGGUGGUGGAAUUUCAUGUGUAGCGGUGAAAUGCGUAGAUAUAGGAAGGAACACCAGUGGCGAAGGCGACCACCUGGGCGCAUACUGACACUGAGGUGCGAAAGCGUGGGGAGCAAACAGG
This 429-nucleotide ribosomal RNA is filed under the name Pseudomonadota bacterium. RNAcentral describes it as "Proteobacteria bacterium partial 16S ribosomal RNA". It matches the Rfam family "Bacterial small subunit ribosomal RNA", at positions 355 to 776 of the family's 1533-position model. The record is from RNAcentral. Lineage: Bacteria; Pseudomonadati; Pseudomonadota.